UGUGUCUUGAAUUAAAAAUAACUAAUAAAUGGUUUCAUCUUCAUCCUAUACCUAAAAAGAAUUAGCCCAACAUAAUGUUGGAAUUAAACAAAAAAAAGGAUAAAAGGAAUCACCAAAAAUUGACAAAACGUGGUUAAUUUUCCAAUUUCAUGUUGUGUCGUCUUAUUCCAUUUUUUUCCUUUAUUCAGCAGGCUUCUGCGUGUGUUUGGAUUUAUGUUUUGGGAAAUUCUGCUUCUACAGCACACGAGCUUACAUCCCCUCACACGAGGAUUGUACCUCUUGCUGUACAGUCCGUUAUGUUUUUUCUCCGCUAGCAGCCGCCCUCCAAUGUGUGUUUGAGCAAUUCUGCCUUUGUUGCCGUGUGCAUAAAUAAUUAAUUCCACACAAGCAGCCCUUUUUUGUCGUUCCCAACCAGCCGGCAAUGUGUGUUCCUUGUUUGUCUCUAUCUCUUUUCUCUGUAUGACGUGUGUAUAUACCCAAAAAUGAUCUCCUAAGCAUUGGUGCUUAUUUUAUAUUAAGUAUCGGUAACAUGGCACGCCACAACAUAAAAAUUUAGUAAUAUGGCCUAAAUAGGUGCACAACUUACACCAAUCAUUUACAAAUUUACAUUUUACAUAAUACAUUUUGAAUAAUGACUAAAUAAACAUCAUUUGUUGAGAAAUUU
RNAcentral lists this long non-coding RNA (664 nucleotides) under Olea europaea subsp. europaea. Lineage: Eukaryota; Viridiplantae; Streptophyta; Magnoliopsida; Lamiales; Oleaceae. The record is from RNAcentral.